Molecule: ribosomal RNA, 550 nt
Filed under: uncultured bacterium
Lineage: Bacteria
Description: bacterial SSU rRNA
Rfam family: Bacterial small subunit ribosomal RNA
Source: RNAcentral
UAGGGAAUCUUCGGCAAUGGGGGCAACCCUGACCNNAGCAACGCCGCGUGAGUGAAGAAGGUUUUCGGAUCGUAAAGCUCUGUUGUAAGUCAAGAACGAGUGUGAGAGUGGAAAGUUCACACUGUGACGGUAGCUUACCAGAAAGGGACGGCUAACUACGUGCCAGCAGCCGCGGUAAUACGUAGGUCCCGAGCGUUGUCCGGAUUUAUUGGGCGUAAAGCGAGCGCAGGCGGUUUGAUAAGUCUGAAGUUAAAGGCUGUGGCUCAACCAUAGUUCGCUUUGGAAACUGUCAAACUUGAGUGCAGAAGGGGAGAGUGGAAUUCCAUGUGUAGCGGUGAAAUGCGUAGAUAUAUGGAGGAACACCGGUGGCGAAAGCGGCUCUCUGGUCUGUAACUGACGCUGAGGCUCGAAAGCGUGGGGAGCGAACAGGAUUAGAUACCCUGGUAGUCCACGCCGUAACGAUGAGUGCUAGGUGUUGGAUCCUUUCCGGGAUUCAGUGCCGCAGCUAACGCAUUAAGCACUCCGCCUGGGGAGUACGACCGCAAGGUUG